Molecule: signal recognition particle RNA, 103 nt
Filed under: bacterium
Lineage: Bacteria
Also listed under: 1 other name
Description: signal recognition particle sRNA small type
Rfam family: Bacterial small signal recognition particle RNA
About the family: The signal recognition particle (SRP) is a universally conserved ribonucleoprotein involved in the co-translational targeting of proteins to membranes. Archaeal SRP consists of a 7S RNA and homologues of the eukaryotic SRP19 and SRP54 proteins. In most bacteria, the SRP consists of a 4.5S RNA and the Ffh protein (a homologue of the eukaryotic SRP54 protein).
Source: RNAcentral
GGUCGGGUCCCAUGCGAUUCUUUUAAGGCGGUGAACCCCGCCAGGCCCGGAAGGGAGCAACGGUACCCGAUCUUGGAAUGCGCCGUGGUUCAACCUGGCCGCC